CGCUGAGUCACGGCCGUGCAGGUGCCGCCGUUCCCUGGGCGGGUCGGGCGUCGGGGAGCGGUGCCGGGCGGGUGUCCCUGUGCCCCCCCGGAUCCGUGAGGAAUGGCCGUGCCACUCCAGCUGCCCCGUGCCCACCUUUGCGGCAGCCUUAGCGGGCUCUUCCCCCUCUGGCUUGCCCCAAGAGGGGCAAAACCCCGACCAAUCCAUCCCCUCACCCUCGUGCUCUGCUCCAGACCUUACUGGCAGCCACGGACGCCCCUUUCUUCUGCCUCCACACCAAGUCGUGUCCCACCCCGCUCCCUCUCUUAACCCUUCAUCUAUCCUUUCCUUCUCGGACCUCCCUCUCCCUCCCCAAAUCCCUCCCUUCCCCACACUUACCCUGGGUCAUCCUCCUUCAUUCCCACGGCCCCCGCAGCCUCUCCCCUCCCGGCACCCCCUUGCCGUGAGCCACCAGCCCACCUCGGGUUCACGUCCCCUUUAAGCCUCCCCAGGCUGGAAUGCGAGAGGAGCAUUUCAGCGCCCUGUGAGGUCAGAUAAAGACACUAUAUUUAUCUGGCCGGUAACCUGAGCCCUGAAUUUCUGCGGUGGCAUUUUUUUUACGUGUGGCCCCACAGCCCUCGGGCUCGGCCCCCUCCAGCCACCGCACUCGCUCCCAGGGUAGAGGGGCUGAGCUGGGGGUGCCCUGUCCCCUCCAAAGGGCUCUGCUGCUGCCCAUCUCCACAUCUCCCCUCUCUGGGACCAGGGGAAGAUCCCAAAGGAGGCAGGAUCAGCCCCGUGGGCAUCACCUCAUGCCUGGAUGUUCGUCCUCCUGACCAGCCCUCGGCCGCCCACCCCACACGCAGCUCCUGCGGCUCCUGGCACACUCCGCUCUCCCUCUGCCCUGGGAUACACUUGGAUGUGACGUGGGGACUCGGCAGCACAGGCAGUCCUAGCAGAUGUGAUGUUCCUCCAUGUCGAUGCCUCCAGGAGAGCCCUCUGAGCCCCAGCCUGCAGCAUGUCCCAACUCUCCUCCACCCUGAAGCGCUACGUGGACUCCUCCCGCUACACCGAGACCACCUACAGCAAAGUGCCCGGCGGGUACAGCUCCUACAGCUCCUAUGGAUCCACCCUGUCCUA
RNAcentral lists this long non-coding RNA (1116 nucleotides) under Manacus vitellinus (golden-collared manakin). Its description in RNAcentral is "lncRNA (ENSMVIG00005016985.1)". Lineage: Eukaryota; Metazoa; Chordata; Aves; Passeriformes; Pipridae. The record is from RNAcentral.